AUUGAACGCUGGCGGCAGGCCUAAUACAUGCAAGUCGAACGGUAACAUAAAAGAAGCUUGCUUCUUUUGAUGACGAGUGGCGGACGGGUGAGUAAUAUUUGGGAAACUACCUGAUAGAGGGGGACAACAGUUGGAAACGACUGCUAAUACCGCAUAAAGCCUGAGGGUGAAAGCAGCAAUGCGCUAUCAGAUGUGCCCAAACGGGAUUAGCUAGUAGGUGAGGUAAAGGCUCACCUAGGCGACGAUCUCUAGCUGGUCUGAGAGGAUGAUCAGCCACAUUGGGACUGAGACACGGCCCAGACUCCUACGGGAGGCAGCAGUAGGGAAUAUUGCACAAAUGGAGGAAACUCUGAUGCAGCCAUGCCGCGUGUGUGAAGAAGGCUUUCGGGUUGUAAAGCACUUUCGGAGGGAGGAAAAGAUGACGUUACCCUCAGAAGAAGCAACCGGCCUAAACUCCGUG
This 460-nucleotide ribosomal RNA is filed under the name uncultured bacterium. Its description in RNAcentral is "bacterial SSU rRNA". It matches the Rfam family "Bacterial small subunit ribosomal RNA", at positions 30 to 507 of the family's 1533-position model. The record is from RNAcentral.